UCCCUUGUAGCUCAGUCAGUAAAGCAUCUGCGUGCAGUGCAGGAGACCCAGGUUCAGUCCCUGGGUUGGGAA
Transfer RNA from Ovis aries (sheep), 72 nucleotides. It matches the Rfam family "tRNA". From Rfam's summary of the family: Transfer RNA (tRNA) molecules are approximately 80 nucleotides in length. Their secondary structure includes four short double-helical elements and three loops (D, anti-codon, and T loops). The record is from Rfam. NCBI's taxonomy places the organism in Eukaryota, Metazoa, Chordata, Mammalia, Artiodactyla, Bovidae.